GUGUCAGCAGCCGCGGUAAUACAGAGGGUGCAAGCGUUAAUCGGAAUUACUGGGCGUAAAGCGUGCGUAGUCGGUUAUUCAAGUCGGGCGUGAAAGCCCCGGGCUCAACCUGGGAAUUGCGUUCGAUACUGUCUAGCUAGAGUUCGGCAGAGGGAAGUGGAAUUUCAGGUGUAGCGGUGAAAUGCGUAGAUAUCUGAAGGAACAUCAGUGGCGAAAGCGACUUCCUGGACCAGAACUGACGAUCAGGCACGAAAGCGUGGGGAGCAAACAGGAUUAGAAACCCCGGUAGUCC
This 292-nucleotide ribosomal RNA is filed under the name uncultured bacterium. RNAcentral describes it as "partial 16S ribosomal RNA". It matches the Rfam family "Bacterial small subunit ribosomal RNA", at positions 505 to 796 of the family's 1533-position model. The record is from RNAcentral.